ACGCUGCCUUUGAGCCCCUGGCACGCCUGCGUGUGGCCCCGGGAGUCAGGCUGCAGCGCCAGAGCACGGGCUCAAGCAUUAUUGGGGCCGCCAGCCCCCCUCGCAGGCGGCCUUUUUAUUUUUUUAUUUUUAUU
This 134-nucleotide small nucleolar RNA is filed under the name Sorex araneus (European shrew). The record is from RNAcentral. Lineage: Eukaryota; Metazoa; Chordata; Mammalia; Eulipotyphla; Soricidae.